CUACGGGAUGCUCCAGUAGGGAAUCUUAGACAAUGGGGGAAACCCUGAUCUAGCCAUGCCGCGUGAGUGAUGAAGGCCUUAGGGUUGUAAAGCUCUUUCGCUGGGGAAGAUAAUGACGGUACCCAGUAAAGAAACCCCGGCUAACUCCGUGCCAGCAGCCGCGGUAAUACGGAGGGGGUUAGCGUUGUUCGGAAUUACUGGGCGUAAAGCGCGCGUAGGCGGGCUAUUAAGUCAGGGGUGAAAUCCCGGGGCUCAACCCCGGAACUGCCUUUGAUACUGGUAGUCUUGAGUUCGAGAGAGGUGAGUGGAAUUCCGAGUGUAGAGGUGAAAUUCGUAGAUAUUCGGGGGAACAUCAGUGGCGAAGGCGACUCACUGGCUCGAUACUGACGCUGAGGUGCGAAAGUGUGGGGAGCAAACAGGAUUAGAUACCCGUGUAGUC
This 439-nucleotide ribosomal RNA is filed under the name uncultured bacterium. RNAcentral's name for it is "partial 16S ribosomal RNA". It matches the Rfam family "Bacterial small subunit ribosomal RNA", at positions 339 to 795 of the family's 1533-position model. The record is from RNAcentral.